UGGGGAAUAUUGCACAAUGGGCGCAAGCCUGAUGCAGCAACGCCGCGUGAGGGACGACGGCCUUCGGGUUGUAAACCUCUUUUGGCAGGGAAGAAGCGAAAGUGACGGUACCUGCAGAAAAAGCACCGGCUAACUACGUGCCAGCAGCCGCGGUGAUACGUAGGGUGCAAGCGUUGUCCGGAAUUAUUGGGCGUAAAGAGCUCGUAGGCGGUUUGUCGCGUCUGCUGUGAAAACCCGAGGCUCAACCUCGGGCCUGCAGUGGGUACGGGCAAACUAGAGUGCGGUAGGGNGGAUUGGAAUUCCUGGUGUAGCGGUGGAAUGCGCAGAUAUCAGGAGGAACACCGAUGGCGAAGGCAGAUCUCUGGGCCGUAACUGACGCUGAGGAGCGAAAGCAUGGGGAGCGAACA
Molecule: ribosomal RNA, 407 nt
Filed under: uncultured bacterium
Lineage: Bacteria
Description: bacterial SSU rRNA
Rfam family: Bacterial small subunit ribosomal RNA
Source: RNAcentral